This 478-nucleotide ribosomal RNA is filed under the name uncultured bacterium. RNAcentral describes it as "partial 16S ribosomal RNA". It matches the Rfam family "Bacterial small subunit ribosomal RNA", at positions 28 to 507 of the family's 1533-position model. The record is from RNAcentral.
GAUGAACGCUAGCGGCAGGCUUAACACAUGCAAGUCGAGGGGUAUUUAUCUUCGGAUAGAGAGACCGGCGCACGGGUGCGUAACGCGUAUGCAAUCUACCUUUUACAGAGGGAUAGCCCAGAGAAAUUUGGAUUAAUACCUCAUAGUAUAUAGACUCGGCAUCGAGAUUAUAUUAAAGUCACAACGGUAAAAGAUGAGCAUGCGUCCCAUUAGCUAGUUGGUAAGGUAGCGGCUUACCAAGGCUACGAUGGGUAGGGGUCCUGAGAGGGAGAUCCCCCACACUGGUACUGAGACACGGACCAGACUCCUACGGGAGGCAGCAGUGAGGAAUAUUGGACAAUGGGCGCAAGCCUGAUCCAGCCAUGCCGCGUGCAGGAUGACGGUCCUAUGGAUUGUAAACUGCUUUUAUACGAGAAGAAACACUGCUACGUGUAGCAGCUUGACGGUAUCGUAAGAAUAAGGAUCGGCUAACUCCGUG